This 775-nucleotide ribosomal RNA is filed under the name Salmonella enterica subsp. enterica serovar Kentucky. Its description in RNAcentral is "partial 23S ribosomal RNA". It matches the Rfam family "Bacterial large subunit ribosomal RNA", at positions 566 to 1315 of the family's 2925-position model. Lineage: Bacteria; Pseudomonadati; Pseudomonadota; Gammaproteobacteria; Enterobacterales; Enterobacteriaceae. The record is from RNAcentral.
GUCGUUUGCGACGCCCAACACACAAAACAAGCGGUGAGUGCUUUGGGGUGGGGUGACUGCGUACCUUUUGUAUAAUGGGUCAGCGACUUAUAUUCUGUAGCAAGGUUAACCGUAUAGGGGAGCCGAAGGGAAACCGAGUCUUAACUGGGCGUUAAGUUGCAGGGUAUAGACCCGAAACCCGGUGAUCUAGCCAUGGGCAGGUUGAAGGUUGGGUAACACUAACUGGAGGACCGAACCGACUAAUGUUGAAAAAUUAGCGGAUGACUUGUGGCUGGGGGUGAAAGGCCAAUCAAACCGGGAGAUAGCUGGUUCUCCCCGAAAGCUAUUUAGGUAGCGCCUCGUGAACUCAUCUUCGGGGGUAGAGCACUGUUUCGGCUAGGGGGUCAUCCCGACUUACCAACCCGAUGCAAACUGCGAAUACCGAAGAAUGUUAUCACGGGAGACACACGGCGGGUGCUAACGUCCGUCGUGAAGAGGGAAACAACCCAGACCGCCAGCUAAGGUCCCAAAGUCACAGUUAAGUGGGAAACGAUGUGGGAAGGCUCAGACAGCCAGGAUGUUGGCUUAGAAGCAGCCAUCAUUUAAAGAAAGCGUAAUAGCUCACUGGUCGAGUCGGCCUGCGCGGAAGAUGUAACGGGGCUAAACUGUGCACCGAAGCUGCGGCAGCGACGCUUAUGCGUUGUUGGGUAGGGGAGCGUUCUGUAAGCCUGCGAAGGUGUCCUGUGAGGGAUGCUGGAGGUAUCAGAAGUGCGAAUGCUGACAUAAGUAACGAUAA